Molecule: unclassified non-coding RNA, 349 nt
Filed under: soil metagenome
Description: partial contains 5.8S ribosomal RNA, internal transcribed spacer 2, and large subunit ribosomal RNA
Rfam family: 5.8S ribosomal RNA (bases 1-120)
Source: RNAcentral
GAUGAAGAACGUAGCGAAAUGCGAUACGUAAUGUGAAUUGCAGAAUUCAGUGAAUCAUCGAGUCUUUGAACGCACAUUGCGCCCCCUGGUAUUCCGGGGGGCAUGCCUGUCCGAGCGUCAUUGCUGCCCUCAAGCACGGCUUGUGUGUUGGGCCUCCGCCCCCCGGCUCCCGGGGGGCGGGCCCGAAAGGCAGCGGCGGCACCGCGUCCGGUCCUCGAGCGUAUGGGGCUUCGUCACCCGCUCCGUAGGCCCGGCCGGCGCCCGCCGGCGACCCCCCUCAAUCUUUCCAGGUUGACCUCGGAUCAGGUAGGGAUACCCGCUGAACCUAAGCAUAUCAAUAAGCGGAGGA